Bufo bufo (common toad) is the source of this 183-nucleotide long non-coding RNA. RefSeq lists it as uncharacterized. The record is from RefSeq and is a predicted model, not a curated record. Lineage: Eukaryota; Metazoa; Chordata; Amphibia; Anura; Bufonidae. The transcript has 3 exons.
CUCUGGAUAGAUAAGAGACGAGAAGCGGCUGAAAGAAGGUAUCAUGGAGGUAUUAUCUCUGAAUGAAGGCGCUGAGGAAAGAGUCUACAUCCCAUGGGACGUCACUGGAUGUAACAGGUAUGGUGCUGUAUUCUGCUGUAUAUAAUAAUGUCCAUCCACAUAUCUGUUUCACGAUAGGGUUGU